AAGGUGUGGGCCUGGUCCCAAGUUGCACGAGCUAUAAGAAGGAGGCCUCCCACCUCUCUGCGAACUGACGAGAUCAGCAAAACCCCAUAUCCUUCCGAUUAGAAGGUGCUCGGUAGCAACUUGAAGACCAGGUGCGUCCAUCACUACAGCGAGCUGAUCUUCCUCUACGCCUGCCUCCUCAAGGAGGCAAUGGGUCGUCGGCGCCCUCAAAGGGAUCUUCUGAUCCACAUGUUGAGAAAAGGAGACACUCAGAAAAAAUGAAAAGCCCAGCUCGAGAACAGAAAAGCAGGUUAGCAUCGGGGGCUCCAUCUUCAGGCAGGUCACAUCUUCUCGGACGCCAGCUUGAUCUUCUUCAAACGCCAAUUGCCAAGGGGGUAGCUGCACCAUCGGGCCAUGUCCUCCUUCAAGGGUGUUGGGCAAAUGAGCAUCCACUCAUUUAUGAUACUCCACAGCUUUCCGAGCACCAGUUUGAUACUUGACCACUUCUGUCCAGGGAAAACAAGAUCAUUUUGGGUUAGCCAUAAACAUUAAACAACUCCUGCAGAUAUAGUGUUUAUAGCUUUAUAUCUUUUCUCAGCAAUCCAUUUACCAGCCAUGUCACGGUAAGAAUUUAUACAGGUACCAUUAAAAUCAAACAAGCAUAUGCCCACAACUGCUUGGCAACAAUACAUUCAAAGAAUAAGUAUUACAAAAUUGACAUUCUGGAGGUUUAACUAUUCCCCUGCCUGCCAAAUUAUCCACUGUAAUAAGUUUUUAUGGAAAAUAUUUUUUUACGAGUCCACUUUGUUCUUUGUUGAUACCUGAAGAAGGCAACUUUCGGGAAAUCUGAGGGUUGCCAUCCUGGGGCCUAGUUUUGCCAUGUGCCCUUGUAGCCCUAUAGGGUGCGGUCUACUUUCAUAUCAAUUAUAUCAUUGAUGGAUCGCAAGGGGUCAAAAGAAAAAUCUCAA
Panicum hallii is the source of this 947-nucleotide long non-coding RNA. RefSeq lists it as uncharacterized. NCBI's taxonomy places the organism in Eukaryota, Viridiplantae, Streptophyta, Magnoliopsida, Poales, Poaceae. The transcript has 2 exons. The record is from RefSeq and is a predicted model, not a curated record.